CAUUCCUGGAAAAUGAGAGUUCAGUCUCUCAGUUCUGCCUAUUUUCAGCUGUUUCAGGAUUCUGCCACUAAAAAAAAAAAAAAGGUAAAGCGUUUUUGGAUGGUUAAUUGAUAAACCUCACACUGCCAAAGUAUUUUGUGGUGAUCGUUUCACUGACUUUGUGACGCAACUUUAGAAAUAUUUAAAAUGAAUUUU
Molecule: long non-coding RNA, 195 nt
Organism: Xiphophorus hellerii (green swordtail)
Lineage: Eukaryota; Metazoa; Chordata; Actinopteri; Cyprinodontiformes; Poeciliidae
Exons: 3
Source: RefSeq, a predicted model, not a curated record